AGUUAAUGAAUUUGUAUAAAUAUAUAUUUUGAAAAUAUAAUAAAGAGUUAAAUUCUCUAUUAACUU
Molecule: transfer RNA, 66 nt
Filed under: Hydroporus sanfilippoi
Lineage: Eukaryota; Metazoa; Arthropoda; Insecta; Coleoptera; Dytiscidae
Also listed under: 1 other name
Description: tRNA-Ser
Source: RNAcentral